CUACGGGUGGCUGCAGUGGGGAAUAUUGCACAAUGGGCGCAAGCCUGAUGCAGCCAUGCCGCGUGUAUGAAGAAGGCCUUCGGGUUGUAAAGUACUUUCAGCGGGGAGGAAGGGAGUAAAGUUAAUACCUUUGCUCAUUGACGUUACCCGCAGAAGAAGCACCGGCUAACUCCGUGCCAGCAGCCGCGGUAAUACGGAGGGUGCAAGCGUUAAUCGGAAUUACUGGGCGUAAAGCGCACGCAGGCGGUUUGUUAAGUCAGAUGUGAAAUCCCCGGGCUCAACCUGGGAACUGCAUCUGAUACUGGCAAGCUUGAGUCUCGUAGAGGGGGGUAGAAUUCCAGGUGUAGCGGUGAAAUGCGUAGAGAUCUGGAGGAAUACCGGUGGCGAAGGCGGCCCCCUGGACGAAGACUGACGCUCAGGUGCGAAAGCGUGGGGAGCAAACAGGAUUAGAUACCCCCGUAGUC
This 464-nucleotide ribosomal RNA is filed under the name uncultured bacterium. RNAcentral's name for it is "partial 16S ribosomal RNA". It matches the Rfam family "Bacterial small subunit ribosomal RNA", at positions 339 to 795 of the family's 1533-position model. The record is from RNAcentral.